Long non-coding RNA from Spinacia oleracea (spinach), 704 nucleotides. RefSeq lists it as uncharacterized. The record is from RefSeq and is a predicted model, not a curated record. The transcript is spliced from 3 exons. Lineage: Eukaryota; Viridiplantae; Streptophyta; Magnoliopsida; Caryophyllales; Amaranthaceae.
UGUAGCUCCGACAAAAUAAAGUUAAUUGUGGUUGCUUUGUUCACCAAAGUUCACUGUUGUUUUACUGUUCAUGCAUCAUUUGCUUUUAAAUGUCUGUGUUGAAACUAUUUGCAUGAUUGAUGCACUCACGCGGGCUUGAUUUUAGGUGGCGGAAACUGCUAAAAAGCUUUGGAUUCUUAUGAUUGCCGAUGAAGUGUAUGAACACCUUACAUUUGGAAACAAUCCAUUUGUACCAAUGGGUGUUUUUGGACAUACUGUUCCUGUUCUAACACUUGGUUCUAUAUCAAAGUGAUGGAUAGUUCCUGGCUGGCGUGUUGGUUGGCUUGUGACUAAUGAUACCCAAGGCAUAUUGCAGGAAUCAGGGCUUGUGGAGAGUAUUACGAGCUUCCUAAACAUCUCUUCUGAUCCAGCAACCUUCAUUCAGAUCUUUUUAAAGUGUUCAAUAAUCCGAGGGAGCGGCCUUUCACCUUUGAGGAGAUAGAUGAAGUUCGAGAAAUGUUGGCAAGCUUCAUUACCAGUGAUUGUCUUUGAUAUUUUCUUGUAAUGAAUCUUAAAUUAUGGAUGCUAGUUUUUCAUAUGAUUGUAAGGUAAUCGACUUUUAUAUUUACAAUUAUAUACUAUUUAAUUUAAUUAUCUAUAUAAUUGGAUACUUUUUAUGUGACGUAUGGAGAUUAAUCAGUGGCGUGGUCCAAUUAUAAUAUGUA